RNAcentral lists this transfer RNA (73 nucleotides) under Escherichia phage Av-05. It matches the Rfam family "tRNA". Rfam says of the family: Transfer RNA (tRNA) molecules are approximately 80 nucleotides in length. Their secondary structure includes four short double-helical elements and three loops (D, anti-codon, and T loops). Lineage: Duplodnaviria; Heunggongvirae; Uroviricota; Caudoviricetes. The record is from Rfam by way of RNAcentral.
GGCCCCUUAGCUCAGUGGUUAGAGCAGGUGACUCAUAAUCGCUUGGUCGCUGGUUCAAGUCCAGCAGGGGCCA